UUAUUGGCUCCGAGCGUUAACAAAGUGUCAAGGCAAAAUCGACCGACCUGCUCAUGGUGGCGGUUUUUUGAAAUUUUGUAAGGACGCUUUCUGUAUGAUUAAGGCCCGGUCUUUUCACCUCCGAAUAAAUAUGCUCUUAUCUGGCAGUUAGCUAUCUGGAGGAUAAAUAUUUAUUCGCCAGAUAAAAUGUAUACUACAUUCGCUCUCGCGAGAUUUUUUUGAGACAUUCGGAAUAGGAAACGUACAACACAAAAAUUCCUACCUCGCACUAUUAACUGCUAAAAUCAACUCAAAUCAACUUAAUCUUUCAUUAAAAAAAGAAGAAUUAUUAGAAAUAGUGGGAGUGUCUACUAAUCUCAUAAAAUUUUGUGAAGUUUAUUUCUACAAAAUAUUUUUAUUUUGUACAAUAAAUAAUUUUCUCAUUUGCUAUCAAUACAUUAUAAUGGUUUAAAUAAAUAAAUAUUGAUUGGCGUAAGGUUUAUGUUAUUUUUAUGUCUGUUUACUAUUAAUAAUAUUGGAUAUGAGCAGGUGCGUUGGUUUUGUAGUAAUUCCCAGUCACUUCUGACAACUGAAUUUUUCAAAAAAGAAAUUACUAACGUCAGUGUCAAAAAAAAUCUCGCGAGAGCGAAUGUAGUAUACCCGUCUUUUCACGUCAAUUUAUGUUCCAGUUAGUUAUCCGGUAGAUAAGCUUAAAAGUAAGUUUGGAUUCGGAACACACCUGAUUUUUGUGUUUAUUUUUAUAAUUUCAGCUUUAACUUAACCUAACAUAAUUAGAUUCACAUAAUCAAGACCAAGAUGAUUUUCUCGAUUUUAUUUCCAUUGUGGAAGAAGGAAAUAAAGAAAACAUUGAUUAUGGUGAAAAAGUUUACUGGAGAACUUGAACAAGAGGUAAAUAAAUUUUAAAUUAGUGGAAAACUGUUGAUUUGUAUGUAAAGAAGACAAAGACAAGUUUAAAUAAAGACAAGCUAGCUAAUGAAACAGAUGCAGUGUUACAGAUAUGACAAACAUCUAGAAGAUUCAAUCCUGCGUUCUUAAAGAAAAAAGCUAGUUCCAGUAGUAAGCUACCAAUAAUAAACUAGAGAAUGUAUUACAAGAAAGAACAACGCUAAUACUAAACAUACCUCAAUUGCUUCAGAUAGAAAAAGAGGACGAAAAGGUACAACACAAGCGUGCUAGAGAAAAUGAAAGGGCAGAAGAGAGACACAAAAAUUCAUUGAUUUAUUAAAUUUAAAAAUUUAAUUAUACAAAGGACAAUUAAAUAAAGAAUAAAAAAUGAUA
Molecule: long non-coding RNA, 1278 nt
Organism: Diabrotica virgifera virgifera (western corn rootworm)
Lineage: Eukaryota; Metazoa; Arthropoda; Insecta; Coleoptera; Chrysomelidae
Exons: 3
Source: RefSeq, a predicted model, not a curated record